UGGGGAAUUUUGGACAAUGGGCGAAAGCCUGAUCCAGCAACGAUGCGUGGAGGAUGAAGGUUCUCGGAUUGUAAACUCCUUUUAAGGGGGAAGAAACAAAUGACGGUACCCCUUGAAUAAGCCACGGCUAACUACGUGCCAGCAGCCGCGGUAAGACGUAGGUGGCAAGCGUUACUCGGAAUUACUAGGCGUAAAGCGCGCGUAGGCGGAAUGUUAAGUCUGUUGUGUAAUCUCUGGGCUCAACCCAGAAACUGCAACGGAAACUGGCGUUCUUGAGUGAGGCAGAGGAAAUCGGAAUUCCUAGUGUAGCAGUGAAAUGCGUAGAUAUUAGGAGGAACACCGGUGGCGAAGGCGGAUUUCUGGGCCUUUACUGACGCUAAAGUGCGAAAGCUAGGGGAGCAAACGGG
RNAcentral lists this ribosomal RNA (407 nucleotides) under uncultured Elusimicrobium sp. RNAcentral describes it as "bacterial SSU rRNA". It matches the Rfam family "Bacterial small subunit ribosomal RNA", at positions 355 to 776 of the family's 1533-position model. Lineage: Bacteria; Pseudomonadati; Elusimicrobiota; Elusimicrobia; Elusimicrobiales; Elusimicrobiaceae. The record is from RNAcentral.